Molecule: RNA transcript, 8711 nt
Organism: Varanus komodoensis (Komodo dragon)
Lineage: Eukaryota; Metazoa; Chordata; Lepidosauria; Squamata; Varanidae
Gene: PTPRD
Gene name: protein tyrosine phosphatase receptor type D
Exons: 32
Source: RefSeq, a predicted model, not a curated record
AGCAAGAAGAGAGCGGAGUGGAGGAGGAGGAGGAGAAGCGGCGGCAGCAGCAGGAGAAAAAGAAAACAGGGAACCCCGGCUGCCAGGGGAGUUCGCCGGCUGCCUCCCUUCUCGAUGUUGCCGGCCGCUCGGACUCUCCUCUCAGAGGCCGCCUGCCACUUUCCCGCUGUGGACUGUCCGUGAAGGAACGGCUGGAGCAGGCGGCCACCCCCGGGGGCUCGGCUUGGAGCCGCGGCGCGGGUUUGGAUUAAAGUGGCCGCCCGAGAGACGAGCGGCAGCAGCAGGAGGCAGAAGGAGAAGGUGGCCGCGGCGGCGGCAAGGCUGCCGGUAAGGCAAAGAGGAAGCCGCGGCGGCGAGAAGCCCACGGAGCGCCCGCGGUCGGGCGGACUUGCUCGGCGGACUGCUGCUGCUGGGACGGAGGGGGAGCCAACAUGACCAGGCUUUGAAAAAUCUUCAUCUGGAAUUUCAGAUUGGAGAGACACGCAGUGGCUUCUAAGCCAGUGACUGAAGCCGCCAAAGCAUGCUGGUGCCAAGCUGUCGGAUGAUGCAUAUAGCCAGGCCAGUAGUAGUGCUCCUGUGCUGCCUACUCUGUGCUGAUGCUGAAACACCACCAAAGUUUACAAGAACACCCGUUGACCAGACAGGGGUCUCUGGGGGAGUCGCAUCAUUCAUCUGCCAGGCUACGGGAGACCCAAGACCUAAAAUUGUCUGGAACAAAAAGGGCAAGAAAGUCAGCAAUCAGAGAUUUGAGGUAAUAGAGUUUGAUGAUGGAUCUGGAUCAGUCCUCAGAAUACAACCACUGCGGACUCCACGAGAUGAAGCUAUCUAUGAAUGUGUCGCUUCCAAUAGUGUUGGAGAAAUAAGCGUGUCUACAAGACUCACUGUGUUGCGGGAGGAUCAGAUUCCUCGUGGUUUCCCCACGAUUGAUAUGGGACCACAGUUAAAGGUGGUUGAACGUACUCGAACGGCCACCAUGUUAUGUGCAGCCAGCGGCAAUCCCGAUCCCGAAAUAACUUGGUUCAAAGAUUUUUUACCUGUGGACACAAGCAACAACAAUGGACGUAUCAAACAAUUACGAUCAGAAUCUAUUGGUGCCCUCCAAAUCGAACUGAGUGAAGAAUCUGACCAAGGCAAAUAUGAGUGUGUUGCAACCAACAGUGCGGGUACUCGCUAUUCUGCCCCUGCCAAUCUAUAUGUCAGAGAGCUGCGAGAAGUUCGCCGGGUCCCACCAAGGUUCUCAAUCCCACCCACCAACCAUGAAAUUAUGCCUGGAGGGAGUGUUAACAUUACCUGUGUUGCUGUGGGAUCACCAAUGCCAUAUGUGAAGUGGAUGCUGGGUGCUGAAGAUUUGACGCCAGAAGAUGAUAUGCCCAUAGGAAGAAAUGUCCUGGAACUUAAUGAUGUCAGGCAGUCUGCCAACUAUACUUGUGUGGCCAUGUCUACCCUUGGUGUUAUAGAAGCAAUAGCACAGAUAACUGUCAAAGCCUUACCUAAACCUCCAGGAACUCCUGUUGUAACAGAAAGUACAGCAACAAGCAUCACUUUGACUUGGGAUUCUGGAAACCCUGAGCCGGUAUCUUACUACAUAAUACAACAUAAACCUAAAAACUCUGAUGAACUUUAUAAGGAAAUUGAUGGAGUGGCCACAACACGAUACAGUGUUGCUGGCUUAAGCCCAUAUUCAGAGUAUGAAUUCAGAGUUGUUGCUGUCAAUAACAUUGGGCGAGGUCCACCCAGUGAACCUGUAUCAACACGGACCUCAGAGCAAGCACCAUCUAGUGCACCACGCAAUGUACAGGCUCGUAUGUUGAGCUCAACCACCAUCUUGGUACAGUGGGAAGAACCUGAGGAACCCAAUGGCCAAAUUCAAGGAUAUAGAGUCUAUUAUACCAUGGACCCUUCCCAGCAUGUCAACAGUUGGUUGAAGCAUAAUGUGGCUGACAGCCACAUCACCACCAUUGGAAAUCUAGUACCACAGAAAACUUACUCCGUCAAAGUUCUUGCUUUUACCUCAGUUGGGGAUGGACCUCUUUCUAGUGACAUUCAAGUCAUCACUCAGACAGGAGUACCGGGACAGCCAUUGAACUUCAAAGCUGAACCUGAAUCUGAAACAAGCAUAUUACUUUCUUGGACCCCUCCACGGUCUGACACAAUCUCCAACUAUGAUCUUGUUUACAAAGAUGGAGAACAUGGAGAAGAGCAACGUAUUUCUAUUGAUCCAGCUACAUCUUACCACUUACAAGGCCUAAAACCAAAUAGUUUGUAUUACUUCAGACUGUCUGCACGCUCUCCACAAGGUCUUGGUGCUUCAACAGCAGAAAUCUCAGCUAGAACAAUGCAGUCAAAGCCAUCAGCUCCUCCUCAAGACAUUAGUUGCAACAGCCCCAGCUCCACUAGUAUUUUGGUAAGUUGGCAGCCUCCUCCAGUGGAAAAACAGAAUGGAAUUAUCACUUCCUACUCCAUCAAGUACUCUGGAAUUGAUGGAGAAGAUGACAAGCCCCAUGAAAUUUUGGGAAUUGCUCCGGACACUACACAGUAUCUUUUGGAACAGUUGGAAAAAUGGACUGAAUAUCGGAUUUCUGUGACAGCCCACACUGAUGUCGGACCUGGCCCAGAGAGCGAAUUUGUAUUGAUUCGGACAGAUGAAGAUGUUCCUAGUGGUCCUCCUCGCAAAGUCGAGGUAGAGGCUGUCAACUCUACAUCUGUUAAGGUGUCAUGGCGGUCACCAGUCCCCAAUAAGCAGCAUGGUCAAAUUCGAGGAUACCAAGUGCAUUAUGUGAAGAUGGAAAAUGGAGAGCCUAGGGGGCAGCCCAUGCUGAAGGAUAUCAUGUUGGCUGAUGCACAGUGGGAAUAUGAUGAUACUACUGAACAUGAAAUGACCAUAGCUGGAUUGCAGCCUGAAACAACAUACUCUCUCACUGUGACAGCCUAUACAACCAAAGGGGAUGGAGCACGGAGCAAGCCCAGACUAGUGUCUACUACUGGCGCAGUUCCAGGAAAACCUCGGCUUGUAAUUAGCCACACACAAAUGAGUACAGCUCUAAUUCAGUGGCACCCACCUGUCGACACAUAUGGCCCUCUGCAGGGGUACCGCCUGAGGUUUGGCCGCAAAGACAUGGAUGCAUUUACAACACGGGAUUUUACCGAUAAAGAUGACCACUACACAGCUACUGAUAUUCACAAAGGAACUUCUUACAUCUUCGGGCUUUCCGCUAGAAAUAAAGUAGGCUUUGGGGAGGAGAUGGUAAAAGAAAUUUCCAUUCCAGAAGAUCUGCCAAGUGGAUUCCCUCAAAACCUACAUUCGGAAAGUGCCACCUCAACUUCAGUCCAGCUAUCUUGGCAAGCACCCAUCUUAUCAGAGAGAAAUGGUAUUAUCACCAAGUAUACCCUGCAGUACAGGGAUAUCAAUGUGGCACAUCACCAAAUAGAGGUCCCGGUUGUUCCUGCUGAUACAGUUAUGACACUUUCGGGCUUAAAACCAGAUACCACAUAUGAUGUAAAAAUACGUGCACACACAAGCAAAGGGCCUGGUCCAUAUAGUCCCAGUGUCCAGUUUAGGACAUUACCUGUGGAUCAAGCAGUGUUUGCAAAAAAUUUUCAUGUCAAAGCAGUGAUGAAGACAUCAGUAUUACUCUCUUGGGAGAUACCAGAGAAUUACAACUCGGCUUUGCCUUUCAAAAUCCUGUAUGAUGAUGGGAAAAUGGCAGUUGAAGUGGAUGGCCGAGCUACUCAGAAGCUUAUCACCAACCUGAAGCCUGAGACAUCAUAUUCGUUUGUGCUAACCAAUAGAGGAAAUAGUGCGGGAGGUCUUCAGCACAGGGUGACAGCAAAGACAGCACCGGAUGUUCUGCGCACCCAGCCACUCUUCAUUGACAAGACCAAUCUCGAUGGAAUGAUAACAGUGAAACUACCAGAAGUACCUGCAAAUAAAACUAUAAAAGGUUAUUAUAUAGUAAUUGUGCCUUUGAUAAAGAAGUCUGAUGGGAAAUUCAUGAAACCGCAAGAGAGCCCAGACGAAAUGGAAUUAGAUGAGCUACUUAAGGAGAUAGGACGGAAACGCAGAAGCAUUCGUUUGGGGAGAGAAGCAGAUUUAAAGCCAUAUAUUGCAGCACACUUUGAAGUUCUUCCUACUGAGUUCACCCUGGGGGAUAAGAAACAGUAUGGUGGUUUUGAGAACAAGCAGCUCCAAAAUGGCCAAGAAUAUGUUGUUUUUAUUUUAGCUGUUAUGGAACACUCAGAAUCUACCAUGUAUGCAACCAGCCCAUAUUCUGAAACCGUUGUGUCAGUGGAUCUUAAUCCCCAGCCAAUUACAGAGGAGGAGGAAGGCUUGAUUUGGGUUGUAGGACCAGUUCUUGCAGUUGUAUUUAUCAUCUGUAUUGUGAUCGCUAUACUGCUUUAUAAAAGGAAAAGGGCAGAGACGGACUCUAGAAAAAGCAGCAUACCCAAUAGCAAAGAGAUUCCUUCCCACCAUCCCACAGAUCCAGUAGAGUUACGGCGCCUUAAUUUCCAAACUCCAGGUAUGGCUAGCCACCCUCCAAUACCUGUUUUGGAACUUGCAGAUCACAUUGAAAGGCUGAAGGCGAAUGACAACUUGAAGUUUUCCCAAGAAUAUGAGUCAAUUGACCCAGGGCAGCAGUUCACAUGGGAACAUUCUAACCUGGAAGUAAAUAAACCAAAGAAUAGAUAUGCGAAUGUUAUUGCUUAUGAUCAUUCCCGAGUUCUCUUAUCAGCAAUAGAAGGCAUACCAGGUAGCGAUUAUAUAAAUGCUAACUACAUAGAUGGUUACAGAAAACAGAAUGCAUAUAUAGCCACUCAAGGAGCUCUCCCUGAAACAUUUGGAGAUUUUUGGAGAAUGAUGUGGGAACAAAGAGGCGCAACUGUUGUCAUGAUGACUAAACUGGAAGAAAGAUCCAGGGUCAAAUGUGAUCAAUAUUGGCCAAGCAGAGGCACAGAAACAUAUGGACUGAUCCAGGUGACCCUGCUGGACACAGUGGAGUUGGCAACAUACUGUGUUAGGACAUUUGCACUUUACAAGAAUGGAUCGAGUGAGAAGAGGGAAGUACGGCAGUUUCAGUUCACUGCCUGGCCCGACCAUGGAGUUCCAGAGCACCCCACGCCAUUCCUAGCUUUCUUACGAAGAGUCAAAACCUGUAACCCUCCCGAUGCUGGACCGAUGGUUGUUCACUGCAGUGCUGGAGUUGGCAGGACUGGCUGUUUCAUUGUAAUAGAUGCUAUGCUAGAGAGAAUAAAGCAUGAAAAGACUGUAGAUAUUUAUGGCCAUGUAACUCUAAUGAGAGCCCAGAGGAAUUACAUGGUACAAACGGAGGACCAAUACAUCUUUAUCCAUGAUGCACUGCUUGAAGCAGUGACAUGUGGAAAUACCGAAGUGCCAGCCAGAAACCUGUACGCAUAUAUUCAGAAGCUGACACAGAUAGAAGCAGGCGAGAAUGUCACAGGAAUGGAACUGGAAUUUAAGCGGCUAGCCAGCUCUAAAGCUCACACUUCAAGAUUCAUCAGUGCCAAUCUUCCAUGUAAUAAAUUUAAAAAUCGCCUUGUUAAUAUUAUGCCAUAUGAAACCACAAGGAUAUGUUUGCAGCCUAUCCGAGGGGUAGAAGGCUCUGAUUAUAUCAAUGCCAGUUUCAUUGAUGGAUACAGGCAACAAAAAGCCUAUAUAGCUACACAGGGACCUUUGGCAGAAACAACAGAAGAUUUCUGGAGAAUGCUUUGGGAGCACAAUUCAACUAUUGUAGUCAUGCUUACUAAGCUACGAGAAAUGGGCAGAGUAAGUAUGUGGCCUGUUUCCAGAAAGUAAAUGUCAAAAAUUAAUUUGGCAUAGGAAGUGCAACAACAAGAACAGCCAUUUACAAAGAAUGAAGGCAAUUACUCCUGCUAGGCCAGUCAGUACGGGGGCAGGCAGUGUGGACUGGAAAAGACGCUAAUCCGUGUACAAAGCAUGCAUGUAUGAAGAUAGCAUGUCUAAUUCAAAAUGAGUUCUUUGUGCUCUUCCCCAACAUCUUCAUCCUGUGGAAAAUGUACUUGCUAACAUUGUAUGUGCUGAGCAGCUGCUUUCCAGCCUGUAUCCUGUAGAACUCUUUCUUCAUAACAAGAUCAGUCGUGGAAGGUGGAUUUCCCUGAGAAAUAGCUCGCCCAUCACUGCAUAUUUUCCAUGAUGCACUCAUGGAAGUGUACUGAGCAUGUCAGGGAAAGGGUGGGACAGGACCCCAAAAUGUUUUAAGCCAGAGAAGCACUUUGGAGAAAGUGACAUGAGCGUUCUCACAAAAGGAAUUCCAGAGUGCAGCACAUACUUUGCAUCAUUCCAAGUUCAAAAUAAAGUGUAAUUUAAAAGAUGUUAUAAGAAAUCAGCAAAAAGUCAGAAGGUCUUGGGAACUUGGCAGAUGCCUAAGAUGAGGACUUCAGGGCCAGGGUAACACCCUUCCUCUUGACAAUUUUCUGUGGGGGGGGGGGUUGGUGGUGUUGGUUUUGUUUCUGUUGGGUUUUUUUUAAUUUUCCAUGAAGAAAUGUUCAGUUCUGCAGACUGAAGUGCAGACACAGGGUUACCCUUCAGGCGUUUUUAAGAACUAAGCCAGUAAGGCCCAACGGACCUGACUGGUUACUGUUAGAACCUGGGUUUGUGAUCUAUCCCUUGCCCAAGACUCUAGAAUUUUGGAGGAAUAACAGAGAAAAGAAGGACUAGGUAGUAUAAGUCAAAGCACCAAAGAUGGAGAAAGGGAUCCAAAGAAGCAUCUCCCCUUGUUGACCUAAGGACUUCCACCCAGGUCCUCUCCCAGGCAUUCCCAGCCUCCAGCCUGAUGCUUUCUCAUGACAAAUGUUCCAUGGAAUCACAUCACAGGAGAGUUCCACCUUCAUGACCUGUCCACAGUUUAAACGCUAUCUCUGAUCUUCAUCCAAACUCACAGAGCUGCUGUACGCUGAAGCCAUUCAGUCACAUAAUUAUGCAAAACACAUGCACAUGGCUAUAAUCCCAACAUAUCACACUGGUGUGUACAAGAACAGUAUUUUCAAGGUAUUUGGUGGUGUCAGUGGCAGUAGUACUGAAGAGCCCACUCCUUUCUGCAUUGUCAGCAAGGGUAUUCAAUACAUACUUUUAAGAUGCAAAUUAGAAACUGUAGAAACUAUGGAAAAAACAUUCCUGGCCAGAACAAAUGACAUCUUAAGUGCUAGGUGAUGAUGAUGCCAUUGUUCAUUGCCUGACCAUUGUUGGUAAAGAUACAUUUCGUGAUUGUGCUCUAGGAAAGCUUUUUGUGCUUUAUGUGGGCAAUCAGUUCUAAUAUGCCAGUCUAGAAUCCUGGGAUUGUUUUAGGUCUGUGGGUGGUUUAUUAAGCUCACCAAUGAGCCGCCUUCACUGAUAAUGCAAGCCGCAAGGAAGGGACGGGUUCUAAGACAGGCACCCAUAAGCAACUGGUAUAUGCCAGAAACCAUGGUCUGAACCCAGUCAUUGUGCUGAGAGGCUUCAAAAGAGUCCCCACCAGAAGAUUAAAAAAAAAAAAAAAUAGGAAAGGUGCUCACCCAGAAGCCCCCAGUCAAACAUUUCCUUCAUAACUUGUUGAACAAAGAACUUUUACAAGGUUGUAGUUGCUCCAUCCAAUUCAGGCAGACCAGUGUACUACACAGAAGCAGAGCUUGUCAGAUCAGUGGGUUCAAACAUCCCAGCAUCUAACUGGAAGCUAGUAGAUGGUGGGUUGUGUGCAGCUUUUGGAAAAACUAUCUGCGUUUACACCUGGACUGCUGCUGCAUAAACUGCAGGCUGCAGCAUGUUCCUGGCUUGGUAACACACUGAUAGGUUCCAUUUCCAGGUGCUCUUCUGUUUCUUUUACUGACAUCACACAUUAGUUUUGGGUGGCCUCAUUGAAAGGACUGACAUACUCCCUCCUCUCUAUAUAUGUCAUGCUUCGAUUCUGUUCAAAUAUGUACUGCAUGUUUGUACACCUAAAAUAACAAUAGAAAUAAAAGAUAGAAGAUACGUUUGUUCCAGGCUGGGUAAUGAUACACUAUCCUUGCAUUUUCUCUUGGAGAGGGCAGGAGAGGUCACAUGCUCAAAAUGUUUGAGCAGUACCAUCUUAGGCACAGAUCAUGCCCUGAGCCUGGCCGUUCCCUGGUCGCAGUGUCUGCUUUUGUGCCGCAUCACUAGCAUAGCAUAGCAUAGCAUAGCUUUGGAGUUGCAAGAGCACAAGCCGUUCCAUCCCUUUUCUGGGUAUAGCAUAUGUUUUUGAAGGUGCGUGUAUGAUUUCUAUCCCGGUCAGGGUGUCUUAUUUCCACACCGAGUACCUACUACACUCAAGAGUUCCACCACUUCUGAAAGGUAGAAGGCUUGUAUUCAUGUACAACAGUACUUCUCAGCUCUGUGAACACGCCCAGGUGGAUUUCUUCUGUCAGAAGAAUCAAAGCUGUGAACAAAUUGCUUCCCACUCAGGAAGCUCAAUAUGCUGUCAGCCAGGCUGAAACAUGAGUCAUUUGUACCAUGCCACAGUAACUGGCUCUUUCUAGAGAGCACGAUGGCUGCACCAAAAUGGUCCAGACACGAUGCCAGUUUGGAAGCCAUUCUCAAAGCCUUCCAAUAAGAGGAUCGAGCGAUCCUGGAAGAGGAACAAUUCCCGCUGUGAACAUGGAAAAGGGAGGCUACUAUUCAUAUCAUUUUGCAAGUGCAGGUGUAAAUUUCUACACUAUUUGAGUCAUUAUUCUCACAGAAGAAA